RNAcentral lists this ribosomal RNA (644 nucleotides) under uncultured Actinomycetes bacterium. RNAcentral's name for it is "bacterial SSU rRNA". It matches the Rfam family "Bacterial small subunit ribosomal RNA", at positions 232 to 886 of the family's 1533-position model. Lineage: Bacteria; Bacillati; Actinomycetota; Actinomycetes. The record is from RNAcentral.
CGCGGCCUAUCAGCUUGUUGGUGAGGUAACGGCUCACCAAGGCGACGACGGGUAGCCGGCCUGAGAGGGCGACCGGCCACACUGGGACUGAGACACGGCCCAGACUCCUACGGGAGGCAGCAGUGGGGAAUAUUGCACAAUGGGCGAAAGCCUGAUGCAGCAACGCCGCGUGAGGGAUGACGGCCUUCGGGUUGUAAACCUCUUUCAGUAGGGAAGAAGCGAAAGUGACGGUACCUACAGAAGAAGCACCGGCUAACUACGUGCCAGCAGCCGCGGUAAUACGUAGGGUGCGAGCGUUGUCCGGAAUUAUUGGGCGUAAAGAGCUUGUAGGCGGUCUGUCGCGUCUGCUGUGAAAAUCCGGGGCUCAACUCCGGACUUGCGGUGGGUACGGGCAGACUAGAGUGUGGUAGGGGAGACUGGAAUUCCUGGUGUAGCGGUGAAAUGCGCAGAUAUCAGGAGGAACACCGAUGGCGAAGGCAGGUCUCUGGGCCACUACUGACGCUGAGAAGCGAAAGCGUGGGGAGCGAACAGGAUUAGAUACCCUGGUAGUCCACGCCGUAAACGUUGGGAACUAGGUGUGGGUCUCAUUCCACGAGAUCCGCGCCGCAGCUAACGCAUUAAGUUCCCCGCCUGGGGAGUACGGA